Molecule: ribosomal RNA, 492 nt
Filed under: uncultured bacterium
Lineage: Bacteria
Description: partial 16S ribosomal RNA
Rfam family: Bacterial small subunit ribosomal RNA
Source: RNAcentral
AUUGAACGCUGGCGGCAUGCUUUACACAUGCAAGUCGAACGGUAACAGGCUGCAAGGUGGUGACGAGUGGCGAAGGGGUGAGUAAUGCAUCGGAACGCGUCCAGACCUGGGGGUUCGCUAGGCGUAAGAGAAGCUAAUUCCGCCUACGAUCUCAGGCUGAAUGCGGGGGAACGUAAGGGAUCGUCGGACCGGACGCGAUGGAAUCAGCCGAGGUCGGAUUAGGUGGUUGGUGGGGUAAAGGCACACCAAGGCCACGAUCCGUAGCUGGUCUGAGAGGACGAUCAGCCACACUGGAACUGAGACACGGCCCAGACUCCUACGGGAGGCAGCAGUGGGGAAUAUUGGACAAUGGGCGCAAGCCUGAUCCAGCAAUACCGCGUGGAUGAAGAAGGCCUUCGGGUUGUAAAGCGCUUUUGUAGGGAACGAAACGCCGCUGGUUAAUACCCCGCUCUAAUGACGGUACCGUAAGAAUAAGCACCGGCUAACUUCGUG